AAAUUACACAGUGUAACUACACUUGUAUUUUAUAUGUUGCAGUAACUGAAUCUUUUGAGGCAAUUGGUUUGCAUAAAUUUAAGUAAAUCCAACCUAUUUUCCUGCUCUACAUACUUAGCUAGCAAUUUGCCAGUUAGCUUCCCAGUCUGAAUUUCUGUGCAAUGUCUUUAUUCAGUGAACUCUUCUAUCCUGUACUCCAAUUCUAUUCCUGAACUCCGAUAUUCUACAUCCAUUUUGUGAAUGUUUUGCUUGCUUGCUUGUUGAUCUUCAGCAUGCUCUGAAGGCAGUAUCGAGUUUCUCUUACUUUAAACCGCCCAACUUGCACCUGAUUGGCACUUUAGCCUUUUGAUUCCCUCCCAGUGAGGCGGUGCUUCACAAAGCAAAUUGAUUGUCAAUCUGUUGCUCUCUGCCUGGUGGUUGUUUCAGAAGAUGAGGAAACAUGGUGACUGAGGUUUACAGCCAACUAGCCAGAUUAUGCAGCUUUUUUUUUUUACUAGAUAGCGGUCCUAAAAAACUACAUACCUUUAAAAUAUGAACAAAUACGUACAAUUCCUUAAUUAUUUGAUUCAUGGGUGAUACAAGUUUGGUCAUUUGGAAUGCAACUCAAGGACUGUGGCUUCUUAAUUACAGAGUUUUGAAGCGAUGGAGGAAAUUUACGUCAAUAUGGAACCUGUUGAACAAAGUGCAUCUCAUCCCACAGGUAAGAACAAAGUUACAGAGAAAUAUAGUAUGUAUUUAAUUUAAUUACAUUUUGCUAAGGCUCAGGUUUCUGUUCAGGUUUCUGUUCAGGUAGCAGCAGCUCCAAAGAGAGGCUCUGCCUCGGUGUGGCCGUAUCUUUGGGAAUCCUGAACGUUUUCCUUUUGACCGAACUCAUCGCCCUCAGUGUACACACUCAUGACAUGACAGCAGAUUUUUCUGACAUCAGCAACAUUCUGACUGAGCAGAACAGCAACAAGUUUCCCUCCGUGAACGCUAACUUCACUGCUA
Poeciliopsis prolifica (blackstripe livebearer) is the source of this 987-nucleotide long non-coding RNA. RefSeq lists it as uncharacterized. The record is from RefSeq and is a predicted model, not a curated record. The transcript is spliced from 3 exons. NCBI's taxonomy places the organism in Eukaryota, Metazoa, Chordata, Actinopteri, Cyprinodontiformes, Poeciliidae.